This 1163-nucleotide long non-coding RNA is filed under the name Homo sapiens (human). Its description in RNAcentral is "HSALNT0153439". Lineage: Eukaryota; Metazoa; Chordata; Mammalia; Primates; Hominidae. The record is from RNAcentral.
CGCGCGCUUGCGCGCCGCCCGCUGCCCGCCGCCCGCCGCGGCUGGGAGUCCGGAGGUUUCAUCUUGUGAUGGUUUCGGUUCGGCUCUCAAAUGGAGGGGAUGGCUACGUUGAAGACAGCUGGGGCUGCCGCACGCCUCGGGGUUACUGUCGGGCACCCGGCGGGCGGGGCCGGCGCUGGGGCGGGGGAGGGCUUCCUCGCCCUCAGAAACCACAUUCGCAGAAACGUUUUUAACUGGCAAGGUUUCGAGUUCCCAACCACAGCACCCUCAGUGAUGGUUUUCAGAAGACCUUGUUAGCUCCUCUCCUCCAGAGACCCAUCCUUCGCUGACAUCCCACCGAUUUGGGAGCAGGAAAAAACAGACUCCUGCAAAAUACCUCUUCUUCCAGUGCCCUGUACCCCUCUCUACUUACUUCGAGUCCCUGCAGUCCAGCAACAACCCCAAACGAGUGAAGGGAGGAGACAUAGGUUUGUCCAGGCUCUGCCACCGACGGGUGAUUUGGGAUGAGUCCUUCUCCAGUAUCAUUAUCUUCAACUGUAAAACAUGAGGGUUAGUCCGAAUGAUCUCCAAACGCUUCAGCAUUAAAGUUAGGUGAUGAAUCCUAAGGAGAGGGCCCGCAGGGAAUCUUGUUAAGGAUAACUGCCAUCGAAGUUACAAGUUUGUUCUGUGAUUGAAGAGUUUCAGGUCUUCUAGAUUUCUUUGGCAUGACGCAUAACUAUUUCAAGAUACUAACAUUUGGGCAGGGCGUGGUGGCUCAGGCCUGUAGUCCUAACACUUUGGGGGGCCGAGGCGGGCAGAUCACCUGAGGGUAGGAGUUAGAGACCAGUCUGGCCAACAUGGUGAAACCCCGUCUCUACUAAAAAUACAAAAAUUAGCCGGGCGUGGCGGUACAUGCCUGUAAUCCCAGCUACUCAGGAGGCUAAGGCAGAAGAAUCGCUUGAAUCCAGGAGGCGGAGGUUGCAGUGAGCUGAGAUCACGCCACUGCACCCCAGCCUGGGCAACAGAGGGAGACUCCUUCUGAAAAAAAAAAAAAAAAAAAGAUACUAACAUUUAAGGUUAAGAAUGUAGGUCAUUUCCCCAGAGGACUAACAGACUCGAGGGCACACACCCCAAAUUUUAUUUCUUUGACUCUGUCAUUGCCCCCAGAACAGUAUAUAAUGUAG